RNAcentral lists this ribosomal RNA (66 nucleotides) under Paratlanticus ussuriensis. RNAcentral's name for it is "partial 18S ribosomal RNA". Lineage: Eukaryota; Metazoa; Arthropoda; Insecta; Orthoptera; Tettigoniidae. The record is from RNAcentral.
GAUUGGGUUUUGUAAAGUUAAAAAUCUGUACCAGGUUUCCGUAGGUGAACCUGCCGAAGGAUCAUU